CUACGGGACGCUCCAGUGGGGAAUAUUGCACAAUGGGCGAAAGCCUGAUGCAGCCAUGCCGCGUGUGUGAAGAAGGCCUUCGGGUUGUAAAGCACUUUCAGUAGGGAGGAAAGGGUGUACGUUAAUACCGUGCAUCUGUGACGUUACCUACAGAAGAAGCACCGGCUAACUCCGUGCCAGCAGCCGCGGUAAUACGGAGGGUGCGAGCGUUAAUCGGAAUUACUGGGCGCAAAGCGUGUGUAGGCGGUUAUUUAAGCGAGAUGUGAAAUCCCGGGGCUCAACCUCGGAACUGCAUUUCGAACUGGAUAACUAGAGUUUUGUAGAGGGUGGUGGAAUUUCCAGUGUAGCGGUGAAAUGCGUAGAGAUUGGAAGGAACAUCAGUGGCGAAGGCGGCCACCUGGACAAAAACUGACGCUGAGACACGAAAGCGUGGGGAGCAAACAGGAUUAGAUACCCGUGUAGUC
RNAcentral lists this ribosomal RNA (464 nucleotides) under uncultured bacterium. Its description in RNAcentral is "partial 16S ribosomal RNA". It matches the Rfam family "Bacterial small subunit ribosomal RNA", at positions 339 to 795 of the family's 1533-position model. The record is from RNAcentral.